RNAcentral lists this long non-coding RNA (517 nucleotides) under Pan paniscus (pygmy chimpanzee). RNAcentral describes it as "lncRNA (ENSPPAG00000045041.1)". Lineage: Eukaryota; Metazoa; Chordata; Mammalia; Primates; Hominidae. The record is from RNAcentral.
CAAAUGUUUAUAUCUUUAAGGAUGUUUCUUUUCUUUGAUUAAAAAGUCCCUUUCAGUCCAAGAGUGAAAAAAAAUAUUCUUAUCACUAGGAAUUUGAUGUUCUGCAAAGAAUACAGUUUUGUCAGCAAUAAAAUGGUGUAUUUCAUGUAAGUGUAUGCUUUUGCAGCUCACAAAGCAAGCACAAUGGUUUUUGUCAGUGAGACCAAGAUCCAAUAUAUUGGAGAAAGUGCUCAUAAAAUCUGAUACAGAAUCUAUCUCAAGAAAUAUUUCCCACCCCUUAAAUUUGUCCCCUUCAUUGAGGAGUUGACUUCAUGGUGAAUUACUCCAAAUAGUUGGAAAAUGUUAAAUGUUAUCUUUGCUGAUAAAGGAACAGAGGUCUGUGAAAUCUCUUCUACUGCAGCAGUACAAAAGAGAAGGUGACAUAUAGUAAGGCAUCUCUGGACAAUUAGAGGUAAGCUUCUGAAAAUAUUUUACAGAAUUGGAAAAUAAUUCAUUUGUACAUUGGGAUGGUAGUGAG